This 366-nucleotide ribosomal RNA is filed under the name Helicobacter pylori. RNAcentral's name for it is "bacterial LSU rRNA". It matches the Rfam family "Bacterial large subunit ribosomal RNA", at positions 1814 to 2177 of the family's 2925-position model. The record is from RNAcentral. Lineage: Bacteria; Pseudomonadati; Campylobacterota; Epsilonproteobacteria; Campylobacterales; Helicobacteraceae.
CACAGCACUUUGCCAACUCGUAAGAGGAAGUAUAAGGUGUGACGCCUGCCCGGUGCUCGAAGGUUAAGAGGAUGCGUCAGUCGCAAGAUGAAGCGUUGAAUUGAAGCCCGAGUAAACGGCGGCCGUAACUAUAACGGUCCUAAGGUAGCGAAAUUCCUUGUCGGUUAAAUACCGACCUGCAUGAAUGGCGUAACGAGAUGGGAGCUGUCUCAACCAGAGAUUCAGUGAAAUUGUAGUGGAGGUGAAAAUUCCUCCUACCCGCGGCAAGACGGAAAGACCCCGUGGACCUUUACUACAACUUAGCACUGCUAAUGGGAAUAUCAUGUGCAGGAUAGGUGGGAGGCUUUGAAGUAAGGGCUUUGGCUC